This 253-nucleotide ribosomal RNA is filed under the name uncultured bacterium. RNAcentral's name for it is "partial 16S ribosomal RNA". It matches the Rfam family "Bacterial small subunit ribosomal RNA", at positions 524 to 776 of the family's 1533-position model. The record is from RNAcentral.
UACGGAGGGGGCUAGCGUUAUUCGGAAUUAUUGGGCCUAAAGCAUCCGUAGCCGGUUUUACAAGUCCUCCGUUAAAUCCAGCUGCUUAACAGAUGGGCUGCGGAGGAUACUAUAAGACUAGGAGGCAGGAGAGGCAAGCGGUACUCAGUGGGUAGGGGUAAAAUCCGUUGAUCCAUUGAAGACCACCAGUGGCGAAGGCGGCUUGCCAGAAUGCGCUCGACGGUGAGGGAUGAAAGCUGGGGGAGCAAACCGG